UCCAUGAGUAAAGUGGCGCACGGGUGAGUAACACGUGACUAACCUACCCUUGAGUGGGGAAUAACUGAGGGAAACCUUGGCUAAUACCGCAUAAUACCUACGGGUCAAAGGAGCAAUUCGCUUAAGGAGGGGGUCGCGGCAGAUUAGUUAGUUGGCGGGGUAAUGGCCCACCAAGACAGUGAUCUGUAUCCGGCCUGAGAGGGCGCACGGACACACUGGAACUGAAACACGGUCCAG
RNAcentral lists this ribosomal RNA (237 nucleotides) under uncultured bacterium. Its description in RNAcentral is "partial 16S ribosomal RNA". It matches the Rfam family "Bacterial small subunit ribosomal RNA", at positions 83 to 334 of the family's 1533-position model. The record is from RNAcentral.